Molecule: ribosomal RNA, 286 nt
Filed under: Salmonella enterica subsp. enterica serovar Heidelberg
Lineage: Bacteria; Pseudomonadati; Pseudomonadota; Gammaproteobacteria; Enterobacterales; Enterobacteriaceae
Also listed under: 4 other names
Description: partial 16S ribosomal RNA
Rfam family: Bacterial small subunit ribosomal RNA
Source: RNAcentral
AAAUUGAAGAGUUUGAUCAUGGCUCAGAUUGAACGCUGGCGGCAGGCCUAACACAUGCAAGUCGAACGGUAACAGGAAGCAGCUUGCUGCUUCGCUGACGAGUGGCGGACGGGUGAGUAAUGUCUGGGAAACUGCCUGAUGGAGGGGGAUAACUACUGGAAACGGUGGCUAAUACCGCAUAACGUCGCAAGACCAAAGAGGGGGACCUUCGGGCCUCUUGCCAUCAGAUGUGCCCAGAUGGGAUUAGCUAGUUGGUGAGGUAACGGCUCACCAAGGCGACGAUCCC